Molecule: long non-coding RNA, 454 nt
Filed under: Rattus norvegicus (Norway rat)
Lineage: Eukaryota; Metazoa; Chordata; Mammalia; Rodentia; Muridae
Description: long non-coding RNA NONRATT018039
Source: RNAcentral
AGCCACGAUGCUGGCAAUUGCUCUAACCUCAUGGAGGAGACCAAGACUUUCUCAUCGACUGAGAGUCUGCGACAACUUUCUCAACAGCUCAAUGGCCUUGUGUCUGAGGUACCACAGGACUGGGGUCCAGAGAGAAGGUAGAGAGGAAAGGAAGGCACAGUAGAAAACGAGGCAGGGAUUCCCGAGCGGCUCUUGUCAUGCUUGGAGAAGACCUGGAUUUGGACCUCGAUGGGCAAUGUGAUUUUAUCCUGUUUAUCCUGGUGUGGAAAGUUCGAGGUGACAGCUGUUGAGCAGCGGGGUUGAGCCAUGGGGGUUUAGGGGCCAUGAGGAGUGGCACAAGAGGGUGUGAGUGAACAGGAAAGCAGACUCUGCUAGUUGAGGGGGAAUAGGAGGCUGCAGGGAUUAGACAGUGAGGGUCACAGAGCAUCUCCAUGAGAGGUAUUGUCUCUCCUAG